Molecule: ribosomal RNA, 497 nt
Filed under: uncultured bacterium
Lineage: Bacteria
Description: partial 16S ribosomal RNA
Rfam family: Bacterial small subunit ribosomal RNA
Source: RNAcentral
GAUGAACGCUGGCGGCGUGCCUAAUACAUGCAAGUCGAGCGAACAGACGAGGAGCUUGCUCCUCUGACGUUAGCGGCGGACGGGUGAGUAACACGUGGAUAACCUACCUAUAAGACUGGGAUAACUUCGGGAAACCGGAGCUAAUACCGGAUAAUAUAUUGAACCGCAUGGUUCAAUAGUGAAAGACGGUUUUGCUGUCACUUAUAGAUGGAUCCGCGCCGCAUUAGCUAGUUGGUAAGGUAACGGCUUACCAAGGCGACGAUGCGUAGCCGACCUGAGAGGGUGAUCGGCCACACCGGAACUGAGACAAGGUCCAGACUCCUAAGGGAGGCAGCAGUAGGGAAUCUUCCGCAAUGGGCGAAAGCCUGACGGAGCCACGCCGCGUGAGUGAUGAAGGUCUUCGGAUCGUAAAACUCUGUAAUUAGGGAAGAAAAAAAGUGUAAGUAACUAUGCACGUCUUGACGGUACCUAAUGAGAAAGCCACGGCUAACUACGUG